This 73-nucleotide transfer RNA is filed under the name Culex quinquefasciatus (southern house mosquito). It matches the Rfam family "tRNA". Rfam says of the family: Transfer RNA (tRNA) molecules are approximately 80 nucleotides in length. Their secondary structure includes four short double-helical elements and three loops (D, anti-codon, and T loops). The record is from Rfam by way of RNAcentral. Lineage: Eukaryota; Metazoa; Arthropoda; Insecta; Diptera; Culicidae.
GCAGCCGUGACUAACUGGUUACGGUGUUCGCUUUGUAAGCGAAUGAUCCUGGGUUCGAUUCCCAUCUGCUCCA